Molecule: ribosomal RNA, 128 nt
Filed under: Periophthalmus magnuspinnatus
Lineage: Eukaryota; Metazoa; Chordata; Actinopteri; Gobiiformes; Gobiidae
Source: RNAcentral
CUCUAUAGUAUUUGCAUUUGUUAAUUGCCAGUAGCUUUUUGUCAAUGUUCGAUCUCAGAAGCUAAGCAGGGCUGGGCUUGGUUAGCACUUGGAUGGGAGACCGCUGGGAAAAACAUGUACCACAGUGA